UGGGCGGGGCCCGGGCCGUGCGGCCGCAGCCGGGAAACCCCGUGCAGCGCCGGGAGCGGGAUCCAUGAGGCGGCCGCGGCCAUUUUAGCGAGAUCUUCCAGAGCGAGAGAGGAGAGGGCAAGGGAAAUAAAUAAAUAAAUAAAUCUAAUCUACCAGUAAAAUACUAAACCAUCGGAGCGUCGGCAAGGGAGUGGCGGAGCUGAACCGAAUCGUAUCGCACCGGCAGCCCCGACAGUAAGCUAUAAUUAGAAAUGGCUACUGAGGUGAAUGGAAAUGCAGCGCAGGUGAAGGAGGAGGAAGAACCCAUGGAUACCUCAUCUGCUGUCACCCAUUCAGAACACUACCAGGUGCUAAUAGAUGCUGGCUUGCCACAGAAAGUAGCAGAAAGGCUAGAUGAUAUCUUUCAAACAGGAUUGGUAUCUUAUGCUGAUCUUGAUGAGAGAGCCAUUGAUGCGCUCAGGGAAUUCAAUGAGGAAGGAGCACUGUCUGUAUUGCAGCAAUUUAAGGAAAGUGACCUAUCUCACGUGCAGAAUAAGAGUGCCUUUCUUUGUGGAGUAAUGAAGACCUACAGGCAGCGGGAGAAGCAAGGUAGCAAAGUACAAGAUGCUACAAAGGGUCCAGAUGAGUCAAAAAUUAAGGCACUUUUGGAACGGACUGGCUACACUUUGGAUGUAACUACAGGGCAAAGGAAGUAUGGUGGUCCUCCUCCUGACAAUGUGCAUUCAGGUCCACAACCUGGAAUCGGAACAGAGGUAUUUGUUGGGAAGAUCCCCCGGGAUUUGUAUGAAAAUGAACUUGUUCCUUUGUUUGAGAAAGCCGGUUCUAUCUGGGAUCUGCGACUAAUGAUGGAUCCCCUGUCUGGUCAGAACCGUGGCUAUGCUUUUGUUACUUUCUGUAACAAGGAUGCAGCACAGGAGGCUGUUAAACUGUGUGAUAACUAUGAAAUCCGUCCUGGUAAACACAUUGGAGUUUGUAUUUCUGUGGCCAAUAACAGACUGUUUGUUGGCUCUAUUCCAAAGAACAAGACGAAGGAAAACAUUAUGGAAGAAUUCAGCAAAGUCACAGAGGGUCUCACUGAUGUUAUCCUCUAUCAUCAACCUGAUGAUAAGAAGAAAAAUAGAGGCUUCUGUUUCCUAGAAUUUGAAGAUCAUAAAUCUGCUGCUCAGGCUAGACGGAGAUUAAUGAGUGGUAAAGUGAAAGUCUGGGGCAACGUAGUCACUGUUGAAUGGGCAGACCCAGUAGAGGAACCAGAUCCAGAGGUGAUGGCAAAGGUUAAAGUGCUGUUUGUAAGAAACCUGGCUAGCUCUGUAACAGAAGAAAUACUAGAGAAGACCUUCAGUCAAUUUGGAAAACUGGAACGAGUGAAAAAACUGAAAGACUAUGCUUUUGUUCAUUUUGAGGACCGAGAUGCAGCAGUGAAGGCAAUGGAUCAAAUGAAUGGAAGAGAAAUUGAGGGUGAGGGCAUUGAAAUAGUUCUUGCAAAACCACCUGAUAAGAAAAAGAAGGAACGUCAGGCUCAACGACAGGCAACAAGAACCCAAGUGUAUGAAGACUAUUAUUACUACCCCCCACCCCGUUUGCCACCUCCAAUCAGAGGCCGAGUCCGUGGAAGUAGAGGUGGUAGUUAUGGCUAUCCUCCAGAUUAUUACAGCUAUGAAGAUUACUAUGAUGAUUACUAUGGUUAUGAUUAUCAUGAUUAUCGUGGUGGAUAUGAAGAUCCAUACUAUGGCUAUGACGAUGGAUACCCAGUUCAAAGAGGAAGAGGUGGAAGGGGUGGAAGAGGUACAAUUCCUCCUCCCAGAGGCCGUGGUGCACCACCACCCCGAGGAAGGGCAGGAUAUCCUCAACGCGGAACACCGAUGGGACCUCCAAGGGGUGCUAGGGGUGGCAGAGGAGGCCCGCAGCCGCCGCAGAGAGGACGUGGAACCCGUGGUGGCCGGGGUAACCGUGGUGGCAAUGUUGGAGGAAAACGAAAAGCUGAUGGGUACAACCAGCCAGAUUCCAAGCGACGCCAAACCAACAACCAACAGAAUUGGGGCUCCCAACCCAUCGCUCAGCAGCCUCUGCAGCAAGGGAAGCGUGGUUGAGGCUGGCCCUGACCUGUUAUCAUGACACCAACAUCCUAGGUGGGGGCUGUACAGGAAGCUGCUGUUGGAGUUAUAUGGUUUAAGCAGAUUCUGCAUUACCUACUGUUGCCAUAGAGUGGAUACAGUUCAUUGGAGCUUAGUGGCACCAAAUGACUAAGUGAUUACAUGAGCAUUGUUUUCCACUGCUGUAGAUGCUGUUGCUGCACUGCUUGCAACUUGCUAAAAGGAGACAUGACUCAAGAAGUAAAGCAUUUUCACCACAAGAUGGCAGUCGGCAUUCAUCAGCUCCAUUGUGUUGAAGGAAAGGAACAAUUAGAAAUGUUUUCUUCACAGAGGGGAAUUUACACUUCAGAAACUUGGUGAUUAACUCUGAAGGUGAAGCACAAGUUCCCUUUUACACAUAUUACGUAGAUUUCGUUGUUCAGACAUUUACUAUAGUGUGUCAAUCUAAGACAGCAGUCGUUUGAUUAAGUGAAGAACUUAUUUGUACCAAGCUGUAUAAACAAAAGACCAGUCAUUUUCAGACUUGGACAUGGGAGAGUGAUUUUGCAUGAAAUCAAAAUGACUUCUGGAAAAGAUAUUAGAGUGUGUUAUAUUUGCUCGUACUUAAUGCUUAGUAGCAGUAAAUUUUAAGUACUUAUUCUUUGUACUGUCUUUAAUAAAGUGUUACUAUUUUGGCGCAGUUUUAUUGCUUUUAUUUGUACAUUAUAAAGCAGUAACAUUUUCCAUAAUAGCAUGAAUGAGUGUUUUAUUGUCUGUUUGCUUCGGCUUUGAGUUCUGUAUUUAUUGGUUAUACGUUGUUAACAUUUGAACAGGAACCAUGGAUCUUCAAUCAUAGAUUAGAGUACUGAAGGAGUCAAUGCUGACAUUUGCAGGGGUUAUUUAGCUAGACCCACUCCAAUACUAUUUGCCUGUAGGCCUUCAGUUCUUUUGGAACAGGUGUUUGUCAUUGAUUUCUCUUUGUCCUUGUAAUCUUGCUUAAAGUGUCAUUCCUGGCUGGGUUAAUGAGCAGCCUUGAUGAUAGCUUAUUAAUACUUAAAAUAAGGAAAUAUGUAAUUUGUUAGCAUUUGGGAAUACAGUAAACUUUUUAUCUGGCCCCUAUGGGACCAGGAGUGAGUUGAUUGAUCAAAUGUUCCAGAAGAUCAAGAGGUUGCUAGAAUCUGUGUAAUGAAGCAGGGGUAUAGACAUUACUGUAUAGUUUAUUUACAGCAUAAAUCACUUAAUAAUGCAACUUUGCCUUAAAUGAAACAUACUGGCAGAGCGCCUUCUCACUUGGACCUUCAACUGACUACUCAAGAGAUCGCAAUAUUUGAGGAGAAUUGACUCGAAAUUGAAUCAACUGUUGAUAUUUCAUGUGGUCAUUCAAUUGAACAAGUAUAGUUACAUUGAUGUAAAUAAACUAUAAUAAUUGGACAGUAAUACAGAAAACUGAGGUAUAUAAUGUUUGCCAUUUUAUCAAGAGUACUGUUCAUAAAGUGCUGGUUAAAACAAGUUUGCUGUACAUGUUAACAUUUCUGUGAUGGCAAUGUUUUCCCUGCUGAUGGCCAAAGGUAAUAAUCAAUUGUUGUAGUGAAACAUGUAAUUUUACUGUAAGUGAGACCAUUUUCUGAAAGUGUUGUAAAUUUGUUGCUGAACAAAG
Chiloscyllium plagiosum (whitespotted bambooshark) is the source of this 3726-nucleotide RNA transcript. It is a transcript of the gene named heterogeneous nuclear ribonucleoprotein R, with no coding region annotated. The record is from RefSeq and is a predicted model, not a curated record. NCBI's taxonomy places the organism in Eukaryota, Metazoa, Chordata, Chondrichthyes, Orectolobiformes, Hemiscylliidae.